UCGUGGGGCAGAGGCGAGGCUCCUAGCGCCCGGUUCCUGCUAGUUGUCACGCGUGUCCCCCGCCGAGCGCCGUUGCCCUCCAGCACCCCGCUGUCACCCGGGGCCCCUGCGCCGCACAGUGAAGCCGCCCGCGUCCCCGCCCUGCCCCACUUCUGUUAGUGGCGUCCUCAGCGGCCACCGCCGCGUCCCCGCCUCCGGGCUUGCGGGGGCCCCAUGUGGGCCGCGCGCCCCAGCUGCAUCCGCGCCGUCCCGCUAUGAGGUCUUAGGACACGCUCGGACGGCCACCAGGACCGUUCUUGAUGACCUCGCUGUCCUCCCGCGGUCGCUGUGGCCACGAAGCACGGAGCCAGUUUGAAGGCACCCAGCUGGCCAGCUCGGGCUGGUUUCUUCCCAGGCCUCUCUGGUUGGCUUGUCCAUGGCCCCUGUGUUAGGACCUGCUCUUGUCCUAACACCAGUCUGCUGCAUUAGGGCGACUCUAGUGACCUCUUGUUAAUUUCCUCCUUACGGCUUUGUCUCUGGAUAUGGUUGCAUGCUGAGACCGCGAAGUUAGGGCUCCAACGUAUGAAUGGGAGCUGGACGACACAAUUCAGCCCUUAAAGGCAUACAGGUGUUGUGUACAAAUCAUAUUCCAAAAUGUUUUGGAAAGUUUGAA
RNAcentral lists this long non-coding RNA (652 nucleotides) under Marmota monax (woodchuck). The record is from RNAcentral. Lineage: Eukaryota; Metazoa; Chordata; Mammalia; Rodentia; Sciuridae.